RNAcentral lists this ribosomal RNA (425 nucleotides) under uncultured bacterium. RNAcentral's name for it is "partial 16S ribosomal RNA". It matches the Rfam family "Bacterial small subunit ribosomal RNA", at positions 354 to 796 of the family's 1533-position model. The record is from RNAcentral.
GUGGGGAAUAUUGGACAAUGGGCGCAAGCCUGAUCCAGCCAUGCCGCGUGAGUGAUGAAGGCCUUAGGGUUGUAAAGCUCUUUCACCGGUGAAGAUAAUGACGGUAACCGGAGAAGAAGCCCCGGCUAACUUCGUGCCAGCAGCCGCGGUAAUACGAAGGGGGCUAGCGUUGUUCGGAAUUACUGGGCGUAAAGCGCACGUAGGCUGAUAUUUAAGUCAGGGGUGAAAUCCCGGGGCUCAACCCCGGAACUGCCUUUGAUACUGGGUAUCUUGAGUAUGGAAGAGGUCAGUGGAAUUGCGAGUGUAGAGGUGAAAUUCGUAGAUAUUCGCAGGAACACCAGUGGCGAAGGCGGCUGACUGGUCCAUUACUGACGCUGAGGUGCGAAAGCGUGGGGAGCAAACAGGAUUAGAAACCCUAGUAGUCC